GGGCUAUCGAUCGUUGUGGCCUAUCGUGGCUUUACACAUUGCCUAUCGGGGCUAUCGAUCGUUGUGGCCUAUCGUGGCUUUACACAUCGCUUAUCCGGGCUAUCGAUCGACGUGGCCUAUCGUGGCUUUACACAUUGCCUAUCGGGGCUAUUGAUCGGUGUGGCCUAUCGUGGCUUUACACAUCGCUUAUCCGGGCUAUCGAUCGACGUGGCCUAUCAUGGAUCUAUACAUUGCCUAUCGGGGCUAUCGAUCGUUGUGGCCUAUCGUGGCUUUACAUAUCGCCUAUCAUGGCUACCUAUCCACAUACAGCCUACCGUUGCACUUUACGACGAAGCAUAUUGUAAUUCUUAUCCUAUUCCUUUUGUGUGAAUCGGACAUUAAAGUGAAUGCCUAUGCCUAUCGUGGCUUUAUUUUUGGGGGGGUUCCAAUAAAUGGCUUUUAUAGCUUAAGAAGUCUGAUUCCUUCUUAAAAAUUUCUCUUGUUUCAGGAUUGACAUCUCUUCGAUUUCUUAGCAAUCAAGCCAGUCGAUCUACUUCACUUUUGGGGGUAGGCUCCGCCCCUGCCUUCAACAUCAGGCAGGAUCUGCCGGACUACAGCUAGACCCGGACGAAAGGCGGGGCAUAUGCCAAAAGAAUCUUACGAGACUCAAGCAUCUCUUUUAUUUUGAGACUGAUUCGAAUUUCUGUCUUUUAAUUCAACAUGGAAUAAAUGUCAUUCAAACGUUUGCUUGCCUUCUGAGUCUUUAUGGUAGAAAUGAAAGCGUCAGCGUGUCGUAGCUGAAGUUCACCUCCAUCCUCCCCACCACCACCAGGUUGUUCCCUGUUCUUUUGUCCGGGGGUAGGCUCCGCCCCUGCCUUCAACAUCAGGCAGGAUCUGCCGGACUACAGCUAGACCCGGACGAAAGGCGGGGCAUAUGCCAAAAUCUUAUGAGACUCAAGCAUCUCUUUUAUUUUGAGACUGAUUCGAAUUUCUGUCUUUUAAUUUAACAUGGAAUAAAUGUCAUUCAAACGUU
This is a non-coding RNA of Misgurnus anguillicaudatus (oriental weatherfish), 1012 nucleotides long. The record is from RefSeq and is a predicted model, not a curated record. Lineage: Eukaryota; Metazoa; Chordata; Actinopteri; Cypriniformes; Cobitidae.